Non-coding RNA from Pelobates cultripes (western spadefoot toad), 778 nucleotides. NCBI's taxonomy places the organism in Eukaryota, Metazoa, Chordata, Amphibia, Anura, Pelobatidae. The record is from the annotation of a GenBank genome assembly.
CCAAAAGUCAACAACGACACACACACACCUAUUCCGUCCACAUGUAUUAAUACAACUGCCUUCUUACAAGCUGUACAUGUGUCAUUAAAAAUCACUACUCCUGUUGUAACAUUAUGUAACACAGCAAACAAAAGGCAGAAAAGGGAAUGGUAUGACACACUGUUAGGAGGUGCUGGAACCACUAUGGGUAUACUAAAUAGUUAUAGAUAUGGAGACCCUCAAGAAUAAGUUAAACACAGCCAGUAUGCAUAUAGGGACUGGUUUUCAUGCUACUGCAAACUGGGCUCCAAUUGUUGUUAAAUCACAGGUUACAGGAUUGGAUUUAGAUAAAUCAAUGUAUAAUUAUUUAGAUAAUUUAACUGUUGCAACUAUGAAAUUCACUAGAGGUCUAAGUAACUGGAGUACUUGUGCCAUCAGGUAUUUAUGGAUACAACAACAAGGAUUGGCAUUAGAAAACACACUAAUGAUUCCCAAACUAGAGAAGAUUAGAGGAAAGCGUAACCUCACAGAUAAUGAAUGGUUACUUCUAAAACCCCAAUCCAGUAAAUGCAAUGGAUGGUUAACUGGUAAUGUUUCACAUUUUUCAUGCUCAUGCUAUUUUACAUUAUAUCAUACAACAUCAAAGGAUGUUAAAUUAGCUUGUCAAUUUAACACAUUACCAGUACCAGUUUAUGAUCUUUUUGCCAAGAAUUUAACCUGGUGGGCACCCACAUACACAGGGGACUAUAUUUUUCCCAAAGAUAACACACACAGGUAGCCACACAUAUCCUAAAAGGAG